Molecule: long non-coding RNA, 1510 nt
Organism: Haliotis rubra (blacklip abalone)
Lineage: Eukaryota; Metazoa; Mollusca; Gastropoda; Lepetellida; Haliotidae
Exons: 2
Source: RefSeq, a predicted model, not a curated record
UUAAAGGGCUAACGAUACGUAUAACACAAUGUUUUGUAGAAAUGUGACAUACAUUUUAUUAACUAUGAAUGAAGAGACUUUCUUUAGAUUGAUCCCUUUAAUGAUGGACAAAUGACCAACGAUGGCUAAUUGUUUCCGAGGUGUCUUAACCUGGCGGGAGAAAGAAUGUCUGCACCAGUGUUUAUUCCCGUCAGUGAAGGGAAAUACAAGGAAGAUACCUCAAGGACCUUUUAUCAGUCUUGGAGAUGGCCACAAGAGGAAGCUAAUUAAAUUAAGCUUUAAUUAGAAAUAGGAAUAAAUCCGUAAUAUUAACCACUUCAGUUUCAAGUCAGGUCUCCCAGAGUGAGUGUGCGGCAUGAUAUACUCACUCGCGACAGGGGGUGAAUAUUUGGACAAAUACUAUUACUACAAUGACAACAAAGGACGGUGACAAGAGUUGGUUUACGGAUACCUCAACAGCUGUCAUUUCUUUACUUAUAUCUGACAGCGGUCUUUCCCUAAACUCAAAAUAUGUGUGAACAAAUCAUUUUAGCACGUUGUACUUUUGAUCGAAUGUCGGUUGUGAUGUUGAGGAAACUUCCUGCUUGUUAAUGUUUAUUUAAGUAAAGAUUGAAAGACGGGACAAACCCCUGGUACACCUUUUCCCGCGAAAAUGCUUAAAUGUGAAUAGUGUGGCCACAAGGAGAUUGGGUAUGGGCAGGCUUCUGCGGCAUCGCUGUUCGUGUAACACCGUAGAACACCCGGUGCUCGAUCGCAUGUCUUCCAGAACAGAUGACAGAAUCCGCUAUGCAGACAUUAUUAGGCAACACAAAUAUCUUUCGAUUAAUCAUCGAACAUCGUAUGACUUACUUGGUCUCCACGUCUCCAUAGGGAUGUGUCACCAUUAUAGUCCCUACAUCAGUACCCUCCUCCUCCCUCGGCAGUGACGGUCACAUGAAGAGGCAGCCCCGGACAUUGCAGCAACCUCACGCCCUGACGGACGUUACCGUUAUGUUUUUGAGGACAUCAUCAUUGCGUAAACUGGGGGUUAGAUUCAUCCAUAUGUAGACAGAGCACGCUGCACGCGCAAGUGUCUCCACAGUGAAAGCGUUAACAAUCAGCGGGAUAACACAAGGAUUCUGUGAAUGAAACAGUAAAUAUUCUUGAAGAUUGCCACAGCUCCGAGAGUGUCAUAUAGUGAGCGCCCCUCAACAUGAAGUGGUGGCGCUUAAAAACUUGGUGAAAUAACGCACGGACAAAUUCCCAUUGCAUGAUAACAUAAGCCUUUUCGCGGGCGGCAGUGAGGGGGAAAGAAGGGCUUUAUUUACGAAUGUUGUGAUAAGAGUGAUUUAAUACCGUCAUUAAACACUGACUUGAAAUAAUCUUCACAUGAAGCGGUUUCUAACUGUUUUAUGAGAUGUAUUAAGUACACCACUUUUAGAUAUUAAUUUUUGAAGAGGUAAAACGCAGGCGACUUGCCGCAUGGUUGGAAAACCGGUGAAGAUAGACGUAGGAUAAAAUUGAAAUUGUU